UACGAACUGUGCAAACGUUAUUCGGAAUCACUGGGCUUAAAGGGUGCGUAGGCGGCCAUUUAAGUAGGGUGUGAAAGCCCCCGGCUCAACCGGGGAAUUGCGUCCUAAACUGGAUGGCUGGAGUGAGAUAGAGGUGUGUGGAACUUCCGGUGGAGCGGUGAAAUGUGUUGAUAUCGGAAGGAACGCCGGUGGCGAAAGCGACACACUGGAUCUUAACUGACGCUGAGGCACGAAAGCCAGGGGAGCGAACGGG
RNAcentral lists this ribosomal RNA (253 nucleotides) under uncultured bacterium. RNAcentral's name for it is "partial 16S ribosomal RNA". It matches the Rfam family "Bacterial small subunit ribosomal RNA", at positions 524 to 776 of the family's 1533-position model. The record is from RNAcentral.